ACCAUCCUCCAAGGCUAAAUACUCCUGACUGACCGAUAGUGAACCAGUACCGUGAGGGAAAGGCGAAAAGAACCCCGGCGAGGGGAGUGAAAAAGAACCUGAAACCGUGUACGUACAAGCAGUGGGAGCACAGGUUUACCUGUGUGACUGCGUACCUUUUGUAUAAUGGGUCAGCGACUUAUAUUCUGUAGCAAGGUUAACCGAAUAGGGGAGCCGGAGGGAAACCGAGUCUUAAUUGGGCGUUAAGUUGCAGGGUAUAGACCCGAAACCCGGUGAUCUAGCCAUGGGCAGGUUGAAGGUUGGGUAACACUAACUGGAGGACCGAACCGACUAAUGUUGAAAAAUUAGCGGAUGACCUGUGGCUGGGGGUGAAAGGCCAAUCAAACCGGGAGAUAGCUGGUUCUCCCCGAAAGCUAUUUAGGUAGCGCCUCGUGAACUCAUCUCCGGGGGUAGAGCACUGUUUCGGCUAGGGGGCCAUCCCGGCUUACCAACCCGAUGCAAACUGCGAAUACCGGAGAAUGUUAUCACGGGAGACACACGGCGGGUGCUAACGUCCGUCGUGAAGAGGGAAACAACCCAGACCGCCAGCUAAGGUCCCAAAGUCAUGGUUAAGUGGGAAACGAUGUGGGAAGGCCCAGACAGCCAGGAUGUUGGCUUAGAAGCAGCCAUCAUUUAAAGAAAGCGUAAUAGCUCACUGGUCGAGUCGGCCUGCGCGGAAGAUGUAACGGGGCUAAACCAU
This 739-nucleotide ribosomal RNA is filed under the name Salmonella enterica subsp. enterica serovar Wien. Its description in RNAcentral is "partial 23S ribosomal RNA". It matches the Rfam family "Bacterial large subunit ribosomal RNA", at positions 452 to 1190 of the family's 2925-position model. Lineage: Bacteria; Pseudomonadati; Pseudomonadota; Gammaproteobacteria; Enterobacterales; Enterobacteriaceae. The record is from RNAcentral.